RNAcentral lists this long non-coding RNA (1424 nucleotides) under Homo sapiens (human). RNAcentral's name for it is "PREDICTED lncRNA (TCONS_00238225)". Lineage: Eukaryota; Metazoa; Chordata; Mammalia; Primates; Hominidae. The record is from RNAcentral.
AUUCCGCAGAGUCCCAGCACAGAGCAGAGUAGAACAGAGUAGGAUUGGAGCUGAGAGAUAGUAAGUAAAUAGGCAGCAGAAAUAUGUCAAGCAACAAUACCCCAUCUGGAAUAAAAGCACCAUGAAUGCAGGAAUUUUGCCAACUUCUGGCACAGAGAUGGCUUUCAAAAUCUAUUUGGUGAAUGAAUGAAUGAAUUGCAUUUUCUUCCUAAAUUUCACAAUUGAGCGGUCCUAAUCUGCAUAUCCAAGAGCAAUGUAUGUGAACCUACGUUUCCACAGCCUCACCCACAGAAUGUGUGCUCAAACAUUUGGAUUUUUGCCCAUCUACUAGGUCAGCAUUUUACCUAUGGAUGGCAUUUUCUAUUUUCGGUGACGGACUAUGAGCCAGGAUAAACACAUUACUCUCUUCUUUAACAAAAAGAGCAUGGUUAACUCCAAAGACUUCUCUAGACCAGCCUGGAUGGUACCUAAACUUUAAUCAACCAAUGCUCAAGUAAAAGAGCAGUAUCCAGCCCCAGCACACCUAACUGUUUUGCAUAACAUAGUGCUCCUGACUGGAGAGCCCAGGCUGAGAUGGUGUUAAAUGCUUUUACCACGUGGGCUCCUGGCACCAAAUGAGCAAGAUCUCACCCCACAGGCCUUGGAAACCUGAGGCAGUAUUCUUCUGGGAUGUUUCCAACUAGGCUUCCCAUGAGGAUGUUAGAGCCAGCCUGGCUGGUGAAUUUUACUUCUCUCACCUCUCAGAGGUAAGAGGUCUGAGAGGCUCAGGCCCUUCCAGCUUUUGAGGAUUCCAGCAUAGUAGAAACAUAAAAAGGUCCAAAGGGAAUUACAAAAAUAAUCUAUUUUCAGUUCUUAUACUUAACAAGUCAAUUCUUAUUAAAAAAAUAAAUCAAUCAAACUUUUGUUUGAUAUAAUUAUAGAUUCCAAGGAAGUUGUAAAGAUAGUACAGGAGGUCCCUGUGCAUCUUUCACCCAGUUUCCUCCAGUUUUAUGCCACUAGAGUACAAUAUCCAAACCAGGACAUUGACAUUGGAGCCAUAUGCAUGUAUAUUUCCAUGUCAUUUUAUCUCAUGUGUAUGCUCAUGUACCCAUCACUUCAAUCAGGUUAGAGACUAGACCAUCCCUCAUGCUGCCCUCUGAACUACCAACCCUAACCCGUGGAGGUCAUUAAUCUGUUCUUUAUCACUACAAUUUGGUCAUUUUGAGAAUGAAUAAAAUCACACAGUAAUGCAAGCCUUUUGAGACUAGCAUUUUUUCACUCAGCAUAACAUACUUAAGAUCCAUCAAUAAUUCUUCCAUUUUAUUGCCGAGCGGUAUUCUACAGUAUAGAUAUACUAAAGUUUAACUCUUCAUCUAAGGUAGGACAUUUUGGUUGUUUCCAGUUUUGGCUAUUACAAAUAAAGCUUCUAUGAGUAUUCACCUACA